UGUUAUUAAAAAUGUAAAUAAAUAAAAAUAGAGUAGUAUUAGUUAUAUUCUUAAAACUUAAUAAAUUUGGCGGUAUUUUAAUCUAUUCAGAGGAACUUGUUUUAUAAUUGAUAAUCCUCAUUAAAUCUUACUUAAUUUUGUAAAAUUUGUAUACCGUCGUCAUAAGAAUCUCUUAAAAAAGAAAUAAUUUUCUAAAAUUUUAAUUAAUAAUAAUGUCAGAUCAAGGUGCAGUUUAUAGUUAAGAAAAAAUGAGUUACAAUAAAAAUAUUUAUUACGGUUAGAAAAUUUAAAUAUUUUCUUUAAGGUGGAUUUGAUAGUAAAUUAAACAAUAAAAUUUAAUUGAUUAUAGUUCUAAAAUAUGCACAAAUCG
This 370-nucleotide ribosomal RNA is filed under the name Docosia gilvipes. RNAcentral describes it as "partial 12S ribosomal RNA". Lineage: Eukaryota; Metazoa; Arthropoda; Insecta; Diptera; Mycetophilidae. The record is from RNAcentral.